AAUUUGAGAAUUUAGGACUUUGCACCAAUUAUUCACCAAUUGAAUUUUUAAUGGACAAAACCGUUGGGCCUGAGACGAGACCGUUGCAUUUGAGACUGUCGAGUCUUGGAAUAUUGGCUUGAGACCACCGGGCCUUGAAAGAGGUGUAUACUGCGCCAAUUAAUUUUCAAUUAAUGCCUUUCCCUUCUCUAGCUGGUUCCUUCACGGCUUGGUGCUAGAAAUAGAUGUCUUUUAAUUUGAUCAAGACACCCAAGGAAAUCCUUCUGCUAGUGAAAUAUGGAUAGGCCAUAUUGUUCCUUGUUGGAUUUGAAGACAAGAGGCACAAGAAGAACAUGCCUUUUUCUGAAUAGGAUUAGACUCCAAAGAGAUGUGCCUCCACUUCUUUUAUCUUUUGCUGACUUUUCUUUUUUUCUUCGUGAUGGCUAUCUUUUUUUUUCUUUUUUUUUCUAUUGCUGCUAUAUGCCUCACCAAGCCAGGCCUUCGAAUCGUGCUGACUUGCUUUUUUUUGUCCAUUGCAUGCACCAAGCUUUCCUCCAGUAAAAGAAAAACAUGGCUGGAUUUCCCCUUUUUUUGAUGGCUGAAGCAAACCACUCAUAUUUGCUUUUGGGCUGGGGUCUCUCUUCUCUUAAACCAGAACCGAAACAAAAAGUGGCGUACAUCCACUUUUUCUUUCCUUUAUUUUUUGUUGUUGUUUUUGACUUCUUUUUUGUUUUGUUUUUUCUUUUUUUUGGUUUUGUUUGUGGGUUUUGUUCCCAAAAUUGGAUCUGUCAUCCAGAGCACUCAGUGAAUGAGCUUUAUGCCCAAAAUGGAUAUAUCACAGAGUAUUUGAUUGAGGGUUACACACCCAUGAUGGAUUUUGUAUCCAAGAUUUGUUUGGGGUGCAAAACCCAAAGUCUUGAUUGAGGGUGAAACACCCAAAUCUUAUUUUUAGGGUGUAAACCCAUACCCAAGCUUUGUUUCCGGGGUGCAAAACCCAAUGCUUUGAUUUCAGGGUUUCUAUCCCAAUAAUGGAUUUCAUAUCCAAUAAUUUUUCGGGUUACUCACCCAUGGAUUUGCAUCCAAAUGGUUUCGGGGUUACUCACCCAUGAAUUUGCAUCCAAGAAAUUUCAGGGUUUCUCACCCAAUAAUGGAUUUCAUAUCCAAUGAUUUUUUGGGCUACUCACCCAUGGAUUUGCAUCCAAACGGUUUUAGGGUUACUCACCCACGGAUUUACAUCCAAGAAAUUUCAUUGAAGGGUUGCCACCCCACAUGGAUUGUCAUCCAUUUGAUUGAUUAAAGGGUUGCCACCCAACAUGGAGGACCUCAAGAGAGAAGCCUUGUUGCCGAUGCAUCUUUGAUUGCUUAUAUCUUUUUAUCUCUCCAGCCUUUCGGCGGUGCUUCUCUGCCUUUGUGCCUUGCAAGCUGUUAUUUUUAUUUGAAGCCUCCUCUUUUAGUUUUGUAUUUGCAACCUCAUGGCUGCCU
This 1461-nucleotide long non-coding RNA is filed under the name Prunus dulcis (almond). Its description in RNAcentral is "sRNA ncRNA". The record is from RNAcentral. Lineage: Eukaryota; Viridiplantae; Streptophyta; Magnoliopsida; Rosales; Rosaceae.